Small nucleolar RNA from Ornithorhynchus anatinus (platypus), 138 nucleotides. Lineage: Eukaryota; Metazoa; Chordata; Mammalia; Monotremata; Ornithorhynchidae. The record is from RefSeq and is a predicted model, not a curated record.
CCCCUCUCGGGGUCACACCUAGAGAGUUUCCAGGACCCUACCAGUCUUGACUACGGGAGGGAGAGUCAAGCAGAGGCAGAGCCAUUCCAUUCCUAGCUUGGGCGGUGGCUAGCGAGUGGAAGGUCAUCUGCUACAAGU